GUGUAUUACAGUGUGUGUGUGUGUGUGUGUGUGUGUGUGUGUGUGUGUGUGUGUGUGUGUGUGUGUGUGUGUGUGUGUGUGUGUGUGUGUGUGUGUGUGUGGAGAGAGAGGGAGAGAGAAGUAGAGAUAAUGAGCUCUUUCUGAGUGUGACUUCAUGUGACAUUAACUGCAUUAGAUUUUACCCCCUUUCGUGCACCUACCUUCCCAUAAGUGUGUGUGUGUUUGUUUGUUUUAGUGUGUAUUUGUGAUCACUUUUACAGCAAAAGCUCACCCUGCACAUUUUGUCACCUAAUCUUUUGUC
Non-coding RNA from Xyrichtys novacula (pearly razorfish), 301 nucleotides. NCBI's taxonomy places the organism in Eukaryota, Metazoa, Chordata, Actinopteri, Labriformes, Labridae. The record is from the annotation of a GenBank genome assembly.